UCCCGGGCGUGGCGCAGAGGCAGACGCGCCGCCAUGGCAUGGCGGAGCACGCCGGUUCGAAUCCGGCCCCCGGGAG
RNAcentral lists this transfer RNA (76 nucleotides) under Kitasatospora phosalacinea. RNAcentral describes it as "tRNA-Ala". It matches the Rfam family "tRNA". Rfam says of the family: Transfer RNA (tRNA) molecules are approximately 80 nucleotides in length. Their secondary structure includes four short double-helical elements and three loops (D, anti-codon, and T loops). Lineage: Bacteria; Bacillati; Actinomycetota; Actinomycetes; Kitasatosporales; Streptomycetaceae. The record is from RNAcentral.